UACGUAAGGGGCAAGCGUUAUCCGGAUUUACUGGGUGUAAAGGGAGCGUAGACGGACGGACAAGUCUGAUGUGAAAGGCGGGGGCCCAACCCCCGGACUGCAUUGGAAACUGCCCGUCUUGAGUGCCGGAGAGGUAAGCGGAAUUCCUAGUGUAGCGGUGAAAUGCGUAGAUAUUAGGAGGAACACCAGUGGCGAAGGCGGCUUACUGGACGGUAACUGACGUUGAGGCUCGAAAGCGUGGGGAGCAAACAGG
This 253-nucleotide ribosomal RNA is filed under the name uncultured bacterium. RNAcentral describes it as "partial 16S ribosomal RNA". It matches the Rfam family "Bacterial small subunit ribosomal RNA", at positions 524 to 776 of the family's 1533-position model. The record is from RNAcentral.